RNAcentral lists this unclassified non-coding RNA (358 nucleotides) under soil metagenome. Its description in RNAcentral is "partial contains 5.8S ribosomal RNA, internal transcribed spacer 2, and large subunit ribosomal RNA". The stretch from base 1 to 120 matches the Rfam family "5.8S ribosomal RNA", at positions 35 to 154 of the family's 154-position model. The record is from RNAcentral.
GAUGAAGAACGUAGCGAAAUGCGAUAAGUAAUGUGAAUUGCAGAAUUCAGUGAAUCAUCGAAUCUUUGAACGCACAUUGCGCCCGUCAGUAUUCUGGCGGGCAUGCCUGUUCGAGCGUCAUUACGCCCCUCAAGUCCCCUGUGGACUUGGUGUUGGGAAUCGGCGAGGCUGGUUUUCCAGCACAGCCGUCCCUUAAAUUAAUUGGCGGUCUCGCCGUGGCCCUCCUCUGCGCAGUAGUAAAACACUCGCAACAGGAGCCCGGCGCGGUCCACUGCCGUAAAACCCCCCAACUUUUUAUAGUUGACCUCGAAUCAGGUAGGACUACCCGCUGAACUUAAGCAUAUCAAUAAGCGGAGGA